RNAcentral lists this ribosomal RNA (345 nucleotides) under Triticum aestivum (bread wheat). Its description in RNAcentral is "partial small subunit ribosomal RNA". Lineage: Eukaryota; Viridiplantae; Streptophyta; Magnoliopsida; Poales; Poaceae. The record is from RNAcentral.
AUGGAGGGAAAACAACAAUGGGACAUGGUGGACCCUGGAUUCAAGCUUUGCGCUCCAGUUCUGAAGAGAGCAGCAGGUAGACCAAGGAAGAGUCGAAUCAGACCUCGCAGUGAAGGAGCUGGACUUGGUGCGAGGAAGCGUAAGUGCACAAGGUGUGGUGGGUCUGGUCAUUUUGGUAAGUAUUGUAAUUACACAGUAGAUCCAGCGUUCGGAGGGAGUUUCGAUGAAGGCUUCGAUGAAAAUGUUGGUCAGCAGCCGGUUGCCUCAAUAGAUGAUGAAAAUAAUGGUCAACAGCCGGUUUCAUCAGAUGAGGAUUUUGACGAGGUUCCAAAUGAUGAUGGUCAA